AGGGCAUGGGGGAGGGGUCCUCCCGCCUCGAGCUCUGCCCGCCCCCAGGGCUUUCCUGAGGCCCUAGCCUCCUCUCCUGCUGCUCGGGCUGCUCAUCUGGGGCGAUGGCGGAGGGAAGCACCCGCUGGAAACGCGAGAGGGGCAGGCCGCACGCUAAUCUGGGGCCCCCGGGGCGGGGCUAGGGGCGGGAGGCGCCCUGCCCCCACAGGACUCGGGGUCACCCAGGGGUCAGCUCUACUGGGGGGCGGGGCCUGGCCCUUGGGGCCUCUUCAGACCCCGCUCGCUGCUUGGGGCCCCAGGCGGGUCCCCCUCCUGCUUCCGGGCUGGCUUAUUCUCCGUCCGCCUCCAGCCUUGGGUCUCCGCAGGGCCCUCGUGCUCCACUGUGAGCGCGGGGCUGCCCCCGAGGCCGUCUUGGGGGAGGGGGAGGGAAGGAGGCCUGGGCACGUGAGGGUUGCAGGAGGGGCCCCUAGAGGCCGCUGGGGCGGGAGCGCGGACGAGCCCCCGGGCCACCCGAGCAGUAGGGUGCGCCCGCGGACACAGCCUCCGGGCUCAUGCGCCGACGCCUUCCCUUCUGACGUCAUUUCCAGUUCUUCCCCUCCUUGGUGUCCUUGGUCUUUAGGGGCUUCCUGUCACCUCGGUUCAGCUCCGUGCUCAGCCGCUGCCUGGCAGUCCCGCGCCCCGGGCCGGGGCCGGGAUGGGCGGGCAGCGGGAGGAAUCAGUGCUCGCUUUGGAGCCUUCAGCCUGGAGAGAGAUUCCCAGUCUUACCUAGGAAGAGGCUGGGUGGGGCCACGCACCCCGCGCGAAGGGACGCGCCCAUUGGUCAGCUCUGCCUGUAAGAACUGCCCUUUCCCAAAGCAGGAAGAACCAAGGAGGAGGAAGAAGAAGAAAUGGUUCCUGUGUGCCUGAUGGCUGGGGCUCUGGGGCUCCCACCCCACUUACCAGAGACUUGGACACAGGCUGGAAACGGUCAAGCCCAAGAUGCUGGGAUUCUGAGCAGAGCAGCCAGUAUUGGCUUCUAGGUGAUUCCUGUCAAUCCAAGAUGAACUGCCAGGUAUUUGUCAAUCCAGCACUUUCCUGGAUAGUUUUAAGUUCUCCCCUAGUCAGUGGAUAUGUAUCAUCUUGGGAAGUCUUAGAUUUUUCCCUUUAUGUAUAACUCUUUUCUGCUUGGGGGAGCUAAGGGAUUAGACCAGAGGUGCUGGCUGGGCUGGGCAGCCAGCGUCAGGGUUGGCCCUUAAUAAAAAAAAAAAAAAGGACA
RNAcentral lists this long non-coding RNA (1255 nucleotides) under Phascolarctos cinereus (koala). Its description in RNAcentral is "lncRNA (ENSPCIG00000006085.2)". The record is from RNAcentral. Lineage: Eukaryota; Metazoa; Chordata; Mammalia; Diprotodontia; Phascolarctidae.